UCAGAUUUGUUUACAAUCCGAGGCAGCUCCUAAAACGAUUCUCUUCAUUCCUUCAUUCGUUCGGAUUACUGGAUUAUAAACUACAGGAUUUCCCGCUCCCCCAAGAUCCAGAGGCUGGCAAAUCCAAGAAAGACAUGACAAAACAUGAUCUGCAGGCUUAUGUAGCAUCAAAGAAACGCGAGUUUUUGAUGUGAAGACCGAGGACUCCGCAGGGACCUUGAACCCAUGAGUCACCAUGAAUGUGCAGAGACACGCUUUGGAUGUUUACCCUACAAAUACUGCCUGUAACUAUCAAAAAAUUGAAUGCACUGCAGAACAGACCUACGGCCAGUGGUAGCAAUCAGUGUGAAACUGUGCCACACAGUAGUCCGGAAAAGACUUUCUACUAUUGGCUGUACUAUCUGAGACGGUAGUGUAUAGCCUGCUGUGCUCUGGAACACGUGGGUGGGAGUACAAAGUGUUCUGGAGUAUCAACGGAACCUACAGUUCAAAAGUUCAGAGAUUGUCUUCGCAGAACAAAUCUCAACUGGCAUUUUUAUAGGACCUGGAAAGGGGAUGUGGUGACAACCUCCUCACCACUAGUCAUCAUAUUUUUAAAAAAGCCAUAGCUGUGUGUGAACAAGUCAUGCUAGGCUCCAGUACCUAUCCUACACGGGCUAGUAGAAGACAAACCUUUAUGAUUGAACUUGAGUCAUUUGGUUCUGUAUGACAUCUCAGACAGCCACAGGUUUUUCUGAUGACUGCUACAUGUUUAUUCUUUUGAUUUGAUUAUUUUCUCCUUGCCAAGUGACUCUAUUAUUGUAGUUGAAAUUGCAUGUUUGCUAAUCAACUAUUUACUAUCUAAAAAAUCAAAAAUGAUGUUUCUAGUUUUA
Peromyscus californicus insignis is the source of this 872-nucleotide long non-coding RNA. RefSeq lists it as uncharacterized. Lineage: Eukaryota; Metazoa; Chordata; Mammalia; Rodentia; Cricetidae. The record is from RefSeq and is a predicted model, not a curated record. The transcript has 2 exons.